RNAcentral lists this transfer RNA (85 nucleotides) under Desulfobacterales bacterium. RNAcentral's name for it is "tRNA-Leu". It matches the Rfam family "tRNA". Rfam says of the family: Transfer RNA (tRNA) molecules are approximately 80 nucleotides in length. Lineage: Bacteria; Pseudomonadati; Thermodesulfobacteriota; Desulfobacteria; Desulfobacterales. RNAcentral also lists the same sequence under 1 other name. The record is from RNAcentral.
GCCGGAGUGGCGGAAUAGGGAGACGCAAGGGACUCAAAAUUCCUCGGAGCUUUGCUCCGUGCGGGUUCGACUCCCGCCUCCGGCA